Molecule: ribosomal RNA, 425 nt
Filed under: Siphonaria sp. UF 368381
Lineage: Eukaryota; Metazoa; Mollusca; Gastropoda; Siphonariida; Siphonariidae
Description: partial 16S ribosomal RNA
Rfam family: Bacterial large subunit ribosomal RNA
Source: RNAcentral
AUCCUGUAGCACUAAUUGCAGGUGUUGCCUGCCCUAUGCGCGGUAAAUGGCCGCAGAACUUUAACUGUGCUAAGGUAGCAUAAUCAUUUGUCUUUUAAAUGGGGACUGUAUGAAUGGCUUAAUGGGAUAAUGCUGUCUUAAUAAAGUUUCAUAGAAUUUAUUGAAAAGGUGAAAAUCCCUUUAAAAUAUAAAAAGACGAGAAGACCCUAAGAGUUUAAGUUAAAAGAGAGUAUAUUUUUUAGAUUUUUGUUGGGGCAACAAAGGAGUUAUCCCUCCUUUAAUAGACUAGAAAUUUAUUUUAGAAAGAAAACACUACCUUAGGGAUAACAGCACAAUCUGUAACGGGUUUGUGACCUCGAUGUUGGACUAGGAAUAGCUAUUUUCAGAAGAAAUAUGUUAAUGCUCUGUUCGAGCAAAUCUAACCU